AGGCUGGACGCGCUGGAGAUUUUAUUGGUAUGCCUAGAAUGUUCCACGGUAUGGCAUUAGGCAAUCUCCAUGGAGGCAAGUGUACAUGCCAGAUCUGUGGACAGGCGGCCUCCCGAAAUGUUGAACACUCCUGGCAGGGCAAGUAUAUCUCCAUGGAGUUAAGCAAGCGACGCCACCAUUUACAGCCAAAAUGAGGAACACUCCCGACAGAGCAAGUAUAUCUCCAUGGAGACAGGCAGCCGACCCCACCAUUCAAGCUCAAG
Molecule: long non-coding RNA, 263 nt
Organism: Boleophthalmus pectinirostris (great blue-spotted mudskipper)
Lineage: Eukaryota; Metazoa; Chordata; Actinopteri; Gobiiformes; Gobiidae
Exons: 3
Source: RefSeq, a predicted model, not a curated record